UCGGAUUGUAGUCUGCAACCCGACUACAUGAAGCUGGAAUCGCUAGUAAUCGCGGAUCAGAAUGCCGCGGUGAAUACGUUCCCGGGUCUUGUACACACCGCCCGUCACACCAUGGGAGUCGGAAAUGCCCGAAGUCUGUGACCCAACCGGAAGGAAGGAGCAGCCGAAGGCAGGUCUGAUGACUGGGGUGAAGUCGUAACAAGGUAGC
RNAcentral lists this ribosomal RNA (208 nucleotides) under uncultured bacterium. Its description in RNAcentral is "partial 16S ribosomal RNA". It matches the Rfam family "Bacterial small subunit ribosomal RNA", at positions 1293 to 1500 of the family's 1533-position model. The record is from RNAcentral.